AUGUGAGUAGACUUUUUUGGAUUUAUGGGUAAGGGUGAUUAGAGUGAUUGAAUGAAGAUCUAAGGUGUUUGGUGUUAGGUCUAUAUGUUUCCUUGAUUACUGAGUGUGUUUAAUGCUGAAUUAGUCUUGAUCUCUCUAAUCUAGAUCUUUAGACAUUUCACGCUCGGAAGGUGUUUGAUGAAAUGUCUGAAUUAACUCAACUAUGCUAUUUUCUUGCUUAACCAAUGAGAAUUAAUUUUAAGAGUGCUUAGAUGGCUAGUAUACUUGUUCUUAAUAAUUGCAUGACUUAAUUAAACCAAUGAGAGUUGA
This 309-nucleotide long non-coding RNA is filed under the name Brassica napus (rape). RNAcentral's name for it is "long non-coding RNA (BNAP_LNC023990)". The record is from RNAcentral. Lineage: Eukaryota; Viridiplantae; Streptophyta; Magnoliopsida; Brassicales; Brassicaceae.